Molecule: ribosomal RNA, 492 nt
Filed under: uncultured bacterium
Lineage: Bacteria
Description: partial 16S ribosomal RNA
Rfam family: Bacterial small subunit ribosomal RNA
Source: RNAcentral
AGUGAACGCUGGCGGUAGGCCUAACACAUGCAGGUCGAACGGCAGCACAGUAAGAGCUUGCUCUUACGGGUGGCGAGUGGCGGACGGGUGAGGAAUACAUCGGAAUCUACUUUUUCGUGGGGGAUAACGUAGGGAAAUUUACGCUAAUACCGCAUACGACCUACGGGUGAAAGCAGGGGAUCUUCGGACCUUGCGCGAUUGAAUGAGCCGAUGUCGGAUUAGCUAGUUGGCGGGGUAAAGGCCCACCAAGGCGACGAUCCGUAGCUGGUCUGAGAGGAUGAUCAGCCACACUGGAACUGAGACACGGUCCAGACUCCUACGGGAGGCAGCAGUGGGGAAUAUUGGACAAUGGGCGCAAGCCUGAUCCAGCCAUACCGCGUGGGUGAAGAAGGCCUUCGGGUUGUAAAGCCCUUUUGUUGGGAAAGAAAAGCAGCAGGUUAAUACCCCGCUGUUCUGACGGUACCCAAAGAAUAAGCACCGGCUAACUUCGUG